AGUGAACGCUGGCGGAAUGCUUUACACAUGCAAGUCGAACGGCAGCACGGACUUCGGUCUGGUGGCGAGUGGCGAACGGGUGAGUAAUGUAUCGGAACGUGCCCAGUCGUGGGGGAUAACGUAGUGAAAAUUACGCUAAUACCGCAUACGAUCUAUGGAUGAAAGCGGGGGAUCGCAAGACCUCGCGCGAUUGGAGCGGCCGAUAUCAGAUUAGGUAGUUGGUGGGGUAAAGGCCCACCAAGCCAACGAUCUGGAGCUGGUCUGAGAGGACGACCAGCCACACGGGAACUGAGACACGGUCCAGACUCCUACGGGAGGCAGCAGUGGGGAAUUUUGGACAAUGGGCGAAAGCCUGAUCCAGCCAUUCCGCGUGCAGGAUGAAGGCCCUCGGGUUGUAAACUGCUUUUGUACAGAACGAAAAGGUUUCUACUAAUACUAGGAGCUCAUGACGGUACUGUAAGAAUAAGCACCGGCUAACUACGUGCCAGCCGCCGCGGUAA
RNAcentral lists this ribosomal RNA (500 nucleotides) under uncultured bacterium. RNAcentral describes it as "partial 16S ribosomal RNA". It matches the Rfam family "Bacterial small subunit ribosomal RNA", at positions 29 to 523 of the family's 1533-position model. The record is from RNAcentral.